UGUGGCCUACGGGGGGCAGCAGUGAGGAAUAUUGGUCAAUGGCCGAGAGGCUGAACCAGCCACGUCGCGUGAGGGAAGACGGCCCUACGGGUUGUAAACCUCUUUUGUCGGGGAGCAAAGCGAACCACGUGUGGUUCAUUGAGAGUACCCGAAGAAAAAGCAUCGGCUAACUCCGUGCCAGCAGCCGCGGUAAUACGGAGGAUGCGAGCGUUAUCCGGAUUUAUUGGGUUUAAAGGGUGCGCAGGCGGGAGAUCAAAGCAGCGGUAAAAUGGCGGGGGUCAACCCCGGGCGGCCGGUGGAAAUGG
This 305-nucleotide ribosomal RNA is filed under the name uncultured bacterium. Its description in RNAcentral is "bacterial SSU rRNA". It matches the Rfam family "Bacterial small subunit ribosomal RNA", at positions 333 to 636 of the family's 1533-position model. The record is from RNAcentral.